GACGGAGGGUGCAAGCGUUGUUCGGAUUGACUGGGCGUAAAGGGCGUGUAGGCGGUUGGUCAAGUCUGGUGUGAAAGCCCGGGGCUUAACCCCGGAAGUGCAUUGGAGACUGGCGGACUGGAGUCCCGGAGAGGAGGGUGGAAUUCCUGGUGUAGCGGUGAAAUGCGUAGAUAUCAGGAGGAACACCGGUGGCGAAGGCGGCCCUCUGGACGGUGACUGACGCUGAGACGCGAAAGCGUGGGGAGCAAACAGG
Molecule: ribosomal RNA, 253 nt
Filed under: uncultured bacterium
Lineage: Bacteria
Description: partial 16S ribosomal RNA
Rfam family: Bacterial small subunit ribosomal RNA
Source: RNAcentral